This is an RNA transcript of Cloeon dipterum, 2986 nucleotides long. RefSeq lists it as uncharacterized. The record is from RefSeq and is a predicted model, not a curated record. The transcript is spliced from 12 exons. Lineage: Eukaryota; Metazoa; Arthropoda; Insecta; Ephemeroptera; Baetidae.
CGCCGCUUGCAAUGCUUGCAUUGCGUUAAAAAUAUACGAUUUUACAAGAAUUAAACUCCAGUUUUGACUGGAUAUAGGUCUCAUCGGUCGACCAUUGCUUAGACUGAUUCAGCAAUGGUUGCAUACGCCAACCGAGACCCACGGCUGAGGGGAGCAGCAGAGCGAGCAGAGUGCUCCUCAAGCAGCUCUCCUUCUCCGCUAACCGCGGUCGACGCUGGUGGUAUGGAGCUGGCGGUGGCCGUCGCGGAACACCCUCUGAUGAGUAGAGGGUUCAAUGCCAUGAUGAGCGAGCUCCACCCUCGAGGCCUCGCACGGCGCCUCGCCGCCAUCUCCCCCUCCACUGGCACCUCGAGCCUCGACUUGGGAAGGCCGAGUUCCCUGGCCAGAAUUGAGUCGGUUCGGGAUGCUGCCGUUUGUCACGCACCUGGCUCCUCAGGAGCUGACGAAGGUCGUGCAGUUUCGACAGGAGAGUCAAGGAAGCGGGCUCUUUCGCUUAGUGAUGAUUUGGCGAUUCCGUUGCCGUCAAAGCAGUUCAAGGAGGACAGACUGCAUCGCCGACAACAAGGCUCAGCAGUUCGUAGGCUCUCUGCGGUGAGAAAGCAGCUGUCCUAACAGACUAUUGCUGCUGCUGCAAGUGUCGUGUUCUUUUAUAAAGGGUUGUGCAAUAUAUGAAAAAGCCUCCAGCUGGCUGGAGGCUGAUUUCGAAGGGAUUUCUGGGGCGUGUGCCCAGCUGCUCAUUUGCUGGUGGCGACUACCCUCGGCAGAGCUACUUCCUCAACCAGCAUAACAAUCGCGCUUAAUCAGGAAGUCCAGCCUACUACGCUUGCUGCAGAAAUGCGUUGCGUUUAUCGACUUGGUCUCACACCAGUUGGUAAAUUUGGUGCUUUGGAGCAUUCUUGCUGCAAAGUCAGUGAAAGUGCUGAGCUGGGACUACUCACCGGCUUCAUUAUGAGACGAUGAUCGAACCAGUCGGCUGCGUCCUUUGCCAGUGGCCAACCAGCCUAAACUUGAGGACCUCUCAACAGAGAACCUCUGGGUUGGUGCAUUAGAAUUCCAGUCAUGUGUCCAGUCUUCAAGGGACAGAACAGAGGAUCGAAAAAUCUCCAGGCCAGGCGAGGAGGGAGAAAACUGCCAAAUUUGCCACUCCUCUGUCAGGGCUAGUAAAAGAAGAGCAGCCUGAUGGACAUUCCUUUCCCCUGCUUGCUAGAAAAGUGGAAUCAAGGAGGGAAAGAGAAAAAAUAAACAGAGAGGAGACUGACAGCCUGCUGACAGCUGCAGGGAUAUAGGGGGUGUAGCAUCAUCUGGGCCGCACUCGAAACGAAGAGGAAAGAAAGUCUAACUUUUUGUGUUAUCAAACUAUUACUGUACAAGUUGUCGCUAUUUUUUCGGACUGGAAUUACUUCUUUGACUUGAAUUACAUACAGCGAACUGUGACCCGGCCUUUCAGAAUUUCUGUUACACACAGGAAGAUUAGCAGAGAGAGCUGCAGGACUUACAUACUCAAAGUUUUCCCAAAUACAUAUAGGAUCCUUUCGGUGAAGAUGGUUGGUGCGGAAGGACCCCACCGAGUAAAGUUGAACAUGAAUUUCGCAAUUCAUAGAUAUUUUACACUCCCGCGCAAUGCUAGCAUUGAUUGGAAAAAACUUGCGGAAGCAGGUUUUUACUACAAUGGAUCUAACAAGUUUUCUGAUCGCAAGCUGCACUGCGCAUUCUGUCAAGUGGUAAUUGAAUUGAGAGAUCUUAAUUCUAACGAUGAUAUUGACAGAAUUAGUGAAGAAAUGCACGCAAAUUGCAAGGAUUCGCCUGAGUUUUGUCAAAGUAAUUUACAAAUUGGUCAGCCAAAUUACAAUUAUGAAUCUCAUCGCUAUUACUCAGUGCUUCAAAAGAAUGACUGGAAUUUCGUUGGUCCGCUCAGUAUUGCAAGAAGCGGAUUUGUGUAUUCUGGAGAGUCUGACAAGGUUGAGUGCCAUUAUUGUAAGUUGAAAGUCAGUGAUUGGGAAGAGGGAGAUGAGGCGAAUACACAGCACAUUAGGUGGAAUUCCAAUUGUCCUUUUUUGAGUGGUAAUGUAGUUAACAUCAAAAUUGGAGAUGAGGCUAUCAGAACCUAUCACGAUGGAACUGGCAAUAAUGCUUCCUCUACUCGGCCAUUUACUGUGAGUGUUAACUUGCAAUCCAGUGGGUAUGAUGACACAACUAUCAGCACAGAGUUUGUAACUUUUCAAAGUCGACUCGACUCUUUUGCCAACUGGCCGUACCAAUCCCCAACUCCAAAUGCACUCGCCGAGGCUGGAUUUGUCCAUUGCACAGAUGGUGGAAUUGGUGGAAGAACCAUUUGCUUUCAUUGUGGAUUCGAAAUAUCCUAUGAUUCCUGGAAACCUGAAGAUGAGCCUCUUAUUGUGCAUGGAGAAUUCCGUCGCAAUUGCUCAUUUGUAGACACAAUUCUUACCGCAAGAGAGGCCUCCCAUAAUGCCUAAAGUAAACAUUAGUUUGCCCACUCUUUUACUGUUAGCAAAGUAAAACUGCUUGACGAGAAUUUUGAAUUUCUCAAUAUUUUGUUACUUAAAUUAAGCCUCUACUUGUAUUUUAUAUUCUUUAAAUAUCUAUGUACAAAUAAAAAUUAUGGGUAUUUCUAAAUUAUUUUAGAUAGUUGAAUCUGAUUGUGAUAUAUUUCGUCGUUGCAAUUGUUUGUCUGUUACAAUCAACUUGCGAAAUGUUUUGUUGAUAAAUUUUAAACAAAUUUGAAAUAAAAUUGUGAUUUUUUAUCUACUAAUUAAAUAAGUUUUACUGUCGUGUUCACAAAAACACCAAAACCAUUUUCUUGCUCUCGACCCAAAAAAAUAUUUUACUUGUUCAGUAUUUUGUCAUUAUUACACCAGAGUUUCUUGUGAACAUGCUUCAUCGUCAUCGAUCAAUCAAUAUUUGCAUUCAAAAAUUAUAGUUCAGAUUCUUAAUCAGAUAAAAUUAUAUUCCAUUAAAUUUAAAAGUC